This 253-nucleotide ribosomal RNA is filed under the name uncultured bacterium. RNAcentral's name for it is "partial 16S ribosomal RNA". It matches the Rfam family "Bacterial small subunit ribosomal RNA", at positions 524 to 776 of the family's 1533-position model. The record is from RNAcentral.
UACGGAGGGGGCUAGCGUUAAUCGGAAUUACUGGGCGUAAAGCGUGCGCAGGCGGUUAUGUAAGACUGGUGUGAAAUCCCCGGGCUUAACCUGGGAACUGCAUUUGUGACUGCAUAGCUAGAGUACGGUAGAGGGGGAUGGAAUUCCGCGUGUAGCAGUGAAAUGCGUAGAUAUGCGGAGGAACACCGAUGGCGAAGGCAAUCCCCUGGACCUGUACUGACGCUCAUGCACGAAAGCGUGGGGAGCAAACAGG